Molecule: ribosomal RNA, 590 nt
Filed under: Rastrelliger kanagurta (Indian mackerel)
Lineage: Eukaryota; Metazoa; Chordata; Actinopteri; Scombriformes; Scombridae
Description: partial 16S ribosomal RNA
Rfam family: Bacterial large subunit ribosomal RNA
Source: RNAcentral
AACAAAGAAUAAAAGGUCGAGCCUGCCCGGUGACUAUAUGUUUAACGGCCGCGGUAUUUUAACCGUGCAAAGGUAGCGCAAUCACUUGUCUUUUAAAUGAAGACCUGUAUGAAUGGUAUUACGAGGGCUUAACUGUCUCCUUUUUCAAGUCAGUGAAAUUGAUCUCCCCGUGCAGAAGCGGGGAUAAGACCAUAAGACGAGAAGACCCUAUGGAGCUUUAAGACACCAAGGCAAAUCAAGUUAAACACCCCUAAACAAAGGACUAAACCUAUUGAACUCUUGCCCGUAUGUCUUCGGUUGGGGCGACCAUGGGGAAACAAAAAACCCCCACGUGGAACGGGAGCACAACUACUCCUACAGCUGAGAGCUGCCGCUCUAAUAAGCAGAACUUCUGACCAAUAACUGAUCCGGCAACGCCGAUCAACGGACCAAGUUACCCUAGGGAUAACAGCGCAAUCCCCUUUUAGAGCCCCUAUCGACAAGGGGGUUUACGACCUCGAUGUUGGAUCAGGACAUCCCAAUGGUGCAGCCGCUAUUGAAGGUUCGUUUGUUCAACGAUUAAAGUCCUACGUGAUCUGAGUUCAGACCGG